Non-coding RNA from Oryctolagus cuniculus (rabbit), 1420 nucleotides. Lineage: Eukaryota; Metazoa; Chordata; Mammalia; Lagomorpha; Leporidae. The record is from RefSeq and is a predicted model, not a curated record.
GUGGCAGAGAGAGAAAGAAGGCGAGAAAGGGAGAGAGAACUCGCGCAUCCACUGGCUCACUGCCUACAUGGCUGCAACAGUCAGAUCUGAGCCAGGCUGAAACCAGAAGACAGAACUCCAUCUGGUCUUCCACGUGCGUGGCAAGGGAUCCAGCACCUGGACCAUCUUCUGCUGCCCUCCCAGGUGCAUUGGCAGGGAGCUGAAUAAGAAGCAAAAGGGCUGGGACUCUGAUAUGGGAUGCUGUUGUCACAAAUGGCGGCUUAACGUGCUACGCCAGGAUACUGCCCACCAGUUGGUCCCUUAGACACUCUGACGGAUACAUCUCUCACUCUGUGAAAAAAACAUCAAACUGAUCUGAAUGAUUUGAUAUGUUGGAUCACAUGGGAAGCGUUGUCCAAUGAGAAGGGAUGCCGUAUCUUCUCUUUUUGCAAGCAACUAUCACCCUCAAAGUCCCACCAGGGGUUCAGGAAUUCAUGGAAGAAGAACAUGAUCUUUUCAUUUUACUUUAUCGUUAAAGCUUUGAAGCCUCCUCAUCUGUCUCCAGUGAGACUUAUGGGAAAGGUGGGGAAGACUCUGACAAGUACGGAUUUCUGAUAACCUUAAGACCACACCAUAGGACUGGAUAAGGGUUCCCAGAGCUCUAAUGAAGAGACUGGUUGCUUUAUGAAACUGCUUAUCCAACAGCAAGAAGAACAAGAAUUAAUGUACUACCAAGGAUACACUUUGGCAGAUUUUCCUGCUAAGUCAGCCAGUACUGGAACUGUUAAGCAGUGCAGUUUGAAUGAACGCCAUCAUCCAAGUCCAAAUAUUUAUGAUAAGCUCUUAGUUAUCAGUGCCAGGCACUUGAACUGGAGAAACAAAAUUGGCAUUUAAAAAGACAUAAAUCCAGCUCGCUUGAGCAGCACAUGUACUAAAAUUGGAACGAUACAGAGAAGAUUAGCAUGGCCCCUGUGCAAGGAUGACAUGCAAAUUCGUGAAGCGUUCCAUAUUUUUCUAAAUAAAGUCCUCAAUAAACCUACAUGAAACAAACAACCAAACAAACAAAGACAAAAAUCCAGCAUCACGCAUGGACUCAUGGAGGCCUUGGAUGGUCUCUGGUGAGAGCUUCCUUUAUUAAAACUUCUGCACUCUGGGGCAGCAUCGUGAUGUAGUUGCUUAAGCAUCUGCUUGUGGCACUGGCAUCCCUAGUGGGCACCGGUUCGAGUCCCGCUGCUCCACUUCUGAUCCAGCUCCCUGCUGAUGGCCUGGGGAAAGCAGUGGAAGAUGGUCCAAGUCCCUGCGUCCCAGCACCCACUUGGGAGACCUGGAAGAAGCUUGUGGCUCCUGGCUUUGGAUCAACCCGGCUCUGGCCAUUGUGACCGUUUGGGGAAUGAGCCAGCAGAUGGAAAACCUCUCUCUCUGUCUCUCCCUCUCACUGUAA